Molecule: non-coding RNA, 71 nt
Organism: Aspergillus homomorphus CBS 101889
Lineage: Eukaryota; Fungi; Ascomycota; Eurotiomycetes; Eurotiales; Aspergillaceae
Source: the annotation of a RefSeq genome assembly
GCCGGUGUGGUGUAAGUGGAUAACACUCCAUUAUCUUGAGGGCGCUCUGGGUUCGAAUCCCAGCACCGGCA